GUGCCAGCAGCCGCGGUAAUACGUAGGUUCCGAGCGUUGUCCGGAUUUAUUGGGCGUAAAGCGAGCGCAGGCGGUUAGAUAAGUCUGAAGUUAAAGGCUGUGGCUUAACCAUAGUACGCUUUGGAAACUGUUUAACUUGAGUGCAAGAGGGGAGAGUGGAAUUCCAUGUGUAGCGGUGAAAUGCGUAGAUAUAUGGAGGAACACCGGUGGCGAAAGCGGCUCUCUGGCUUGUAACUGACGCUGAGGCUCGAAAGCGUGGGGAGCAAACAGGAUUAG
Molecule: ribosomal RNA, 276 nt
Filed under: uncultured Streptococcaceae bacterium
Lineage: Bacteria; Bacillati; Bacillota; Bacilli; Lactobacillales; Streptococcaceae
Description: partial 16S ribosomal RNA
Rfam family: Bacterial small subunit ribosomal RNA
Source: RNAcentral